CCUGAGAAACGGCUACCACAUCCAAGGAAGGCAGCAGGCGCGCAAAUUACCCACUCCCGGUACGGGGAGGUAGUGACGAAAAAUAACAAUACGGGACUCUUUUGAGACCCCGUAAUUGGAUUGAGCACAGCCUAAAUCCUUUAGCGAUUAUCAAUUGGAGGACAAGCCARGUGCCAGCACCCGCGGWAACACUUGCUCCAAUAGCGUAUAUUAAAGUUGUUGCGGUUAAAAAGCUCGUAGUUGGAUCUCAGUUCUAGUCGGGCGGUCCGCCUAACGGCGAUAACUGCCCGUUCUGAACAGCUCAGCCGGKUUCCCUUGAUGAUCUUUACCGGUUGUCUCGGUUGACCGGCACGUUUACUUUGAAUAAAUUAGAGUGCUCARAGCAGGCGAGANGCCUGGACAAUGGUGCAUGGAAUAAUGGAAUAGGACCUCGGUUCUAUUUUGUUGGUUUUCGGAACACGAGGUAAUGAUUAARAGGGACAGACGGGGGCAUUCGUAUUGCGACGCUAGAG
Molecule: ribosomal RNA, 512 nt
Filed under: Erigone dentipalpis
Lineage: Eukaryota; Metazoa; Arthropoda; Arachnida; Araneae; Linyphiidae
Description: SSU rRNA
Rfam family: Eukaryotic small subunit ribosomal RNA
Source: RNAcentral